GCGUACAUCACCCCGAGCCGUGUGGCUUCCUCUGCGGGGACCGCGUCCCGGAGGGGGGGGGGGGGAGGGGGGCUGUGGCAGAGCCGCAUCGCUGCGCGCGCUUCGCAGCCCCACACGCUCCGCUGGGACUGAACAGCAGCGCCCCCAGCGCCGCACUGCCAGCUCCCAGACGCGGGGAACGCCGUUAAAACUAAUUGCUCUCGGCGCUGCGGAGUAAAGGGGCUCCGGGGAGAGAUUUCACGUAGAAUGAAGAAAUGAGUGUAACCUUCCACUGCCUCUUGAAAACAAGCAGCAGCCAAGGUGCAUUUCUGCUUUUCAGUGUUGCUUUUCCUCAAACCACCACAAGUUAGAAGUAGACAGACACUACUCUGAAAGGACAGUCUAGCAGAAUUUCAGACCAGUUUCCAGAAGCUUCUGUCUCACUUUCCUUAUGAAAGAACUUUGGUGGAGAAGAAGCACGAUCUUCUCACUUUCAUCAGUCCUCUUGCAGAACAGUGGCAAUUCCUAAUCCAAACCAUCAGAUGCUUCAGGAGGAGGUGAAUGUUCUUUAGCACAGCCAGCAUGAUUUAAUGCAACUGUUAAUCCCAUGCUCAACCAGAAAGCAUACAGCCUACUGGAAAGUUGAUUGGAAACCGUGGACAAUUACUAUGUCUAUACCUCAGUAGAGAAGAGAUUCAACAGCUCCAGUGCUAUGAACGCUACGUAUUACCUUAAGAAAUAACAGUCAAACAAAUCCACCAGUGAGCCAAGUGCCAUCCUGUUACAUAGGGACCUCAUUCUCAAAACAGUGAGCUUGCAGACACUGAUUAUUAUUUGAAUAUGCAAGUGCCAAAAAUCACCCUUUGUUUCCUGUUAUGUUUUAUAUUCACCUAAACAAUGAAAAAUAAAGCUUUAAGUCAGUCACUGUUUGGAGAAACCUGCCCAGUACCUGACCAAAGAACAGCCUUCCAAAACAUGGGAGCAAUACCUUUUCUGCUAUGUGUGGCCUUCCGUAGCGGUCACAAAUGAAAAAGCAGACAUUGUAAGAAAGACUUCCCUAUGGCUUGGGACAGUAGGCACCAAUUAUUCUCCUAACCAGAAAAAGCAAGGGGGGAAAAAAGGCUCUGCCAAAUGCGUUCAUAAAAAUCACCAAAGUUUUGGUGGGGUGCCAGAAAGUUGUGGCCUACAAAUGCAAGCAGUUUUGAGCAUCAAGCACUGAAGGUGGAAUAGCCAAAUGGCCUAAAGCAGCGAGGGCAGCCCUGGAAAAUAACAGUCUAGUCAUUAUGGAUACUUCUGGUAAUAAAUAAAACAUGAAUCAUGAUGAACUCAUUGGAUAUUAAAUGUAAGGGUCACAAGUACUUUGAUAGGAUUUCCAAAAGAAUUUACCAUUAAUUAACCAAAUUAUUAUUUGAAAGUGUUACUGAAUUAUCCUUAGUUCUUAUACAGCCAUUCCAGAGAAAUUGGUCAUUCCCAG
Molecule: long non-coding RNA, 1453 nt
Filed under: Gallus gallus (chicken)
Lineage: Eukaryota; Metazoa; Chordata; Aves; Galliformes; Phasianidae
Source: RNAcentral